Non-coding RNA from Paramuricea clavata, 316 nucleotides. The record is from the annotation of a GenBank genome assembly. NCBI's taxonomy places the organism in Eukaryota, Metazoa, Cnidaria, Anthozoa, Malacalcyonacea, Plexauridae.
UGUGGAAACUGGGCUCGAGUUUCCGGCUAAAUUUAGAUCGUUCGCUCAUAUAAAUGCGCCUCAGAUAUCAUCAAAGACAUCAUACUGUGGUACACGCUCUCAAGAACAACGACAAGACUAAAUAUUAAACUGCAAAUAUGUCUUCGAAAAAAGGUAAAAAAUAAUUCUGUAUAUAUAUCGGUAUGUAAUAUGUAGUUAAUACAGUUUAUUGGUUUUUGUCAGUGAACUCGCGAAGCGGCAACCAACGUUAAUGUUUAUAUUGAAUUCCAAUACAACUCAUUAGUCGUGUUUGUAAUGAAAUAUAACUGUAAUACCA